This 73-nucleotide transfer RNA is filed under the name Halobacteriales archaeon QS_6_71_20. RNAcentral's name for it is "tRNA-Gln". It matches the Rfam family "tRNA". From Rfam's summary of the family: Transfer RNA (tRNA) molecules are approximately 80 nucleotides in length. The record is from RNAcentral. Lineage: Archaea; Methanobacteriati; Methanobacteriota; Halobacteria; Halobacteriales. RNAcentral also lists the same sequence under 1 other name.
AGUCCCGUGGUGUAGCGGCCAAUCAUGAGGGCCUUUGGAGCCCUCGACGGCGGUUCGAAUCCGCCCGGGACUA